RNAcentral lists this ribosomal RNA (109 nucleotides) under Anaerolineae bacterium CFX8. The record is from RNAcentral. Lineage: Bacteria; Bacillati; Chloroflexota; Anaerolineae.
GUUGGUGGUUUGAGCGGUGGGGGUACACCCGGUCCACCCGGUCGUUAAGCCCACCAGCGCGGAUGGUACUGCCCUGGUAACGGGGUGGGAGAGUACGCCACUGCCAACC